CCUACGGGGGGCAGCAGUGGGGAAUAUUGGACAAUGGGCGAAAGCCUGAUCCAGCCAUGCCGCGUGUGUGAAGAAGGCCUUCGGGUUGUAAAGCACUUUCAGUGGGGAAGAAAGCCUUGGGGCUAAUACCCUCGAGGAAGGACAUCACCCACAGAAGAAGCACCGGCUAACUCCGUGCCAGCAGCCGCGGUAAUACGGAGGGUGCGAGCGUUAAUCGGAAUUACUGGGCGUAAAGCGCGCGUAGGCGGUCUGAUAAGCCGGUUGUGAAAGCCCCGGGCUCAACCUGGGAACGGCAUCCGGAACUGUCAGGCUAGAGUGCAGGAGAGGAAGGUAGAAUUCCCGGUGUAGCGGUGAAAUGCGUAGAGAUCGGGAGGAAUACCAGUGGCGAAGGCGGCCUUCUGGACUUACACUGACGCUGAGGUGCGAAAGCGUGGGUAGCAAACAGGAUUAGAUACCCCAGUAGUC
RNAcentral lists this ribosomal RNA (465 nucleotides) under Vreelandella stevensii. Its description in RNAcentral is "partial 16S ribosomal RNA". It matches the Rfam family "Bacterial small subunit ribosomal RNA", at positions 338 to 795 of the family's 1533-position model. The record is from RNAcentral. Lineage: Bacteria; Pseudomonadati; Pseudomonadota; Gammaproteobacteria; Oceanospirillales; Halomonadaceae.